This 497-nucleotide ribosomal RNA is filed under the name uncultured bacterium. Its description in RNAcentral is "partial 16S ribosomal RNA". It matches the Rfam family "Bacterial small subunit ribosomal RNA", at positions 28 to 507 of the family's 1533-position model. The record is from RNAcentral.
GAUGAACGCUGGCGGCGUGCCUAAUACAUGCAAGUCGAGCGAACAGACGAGGAGCUUGCUCCUCUGACGUUAGCGGCGGACGGGUGAGUAACACGUGGAUAACCUACCUAUAAGACUGGGAUAACUUCGGGAAACCGGAGCUAAUACCGGAUAAUAUAUUGAACCGCAUGGUUCAAUAGUGAAAGACGGUUUUGCUGUCACUUAUAGAUGGAUCCGCGCCGCAUUAGCUAGUUGGUAAGGUAACGGCUUACCAAGGCAACGAUGCGUAGCCGACCUGAGAGGGUGAUCAGCCACACUGGAACUGAGACACGGUCCAGACUCCUACGGGAGGCAGCAGUAGGGAAUCUUCCGCAAUGGGCGAAAGCCUGACGGAGCAACGCCGCGUGAGUGAUGAAGGUCUUCGGAUCGUAAAACUCUUUUAUUAGGGAAGAACAAAUGUGUAAUUAACUAUGCACGUCUUGACGGUACCUAAUCAGAAAGCCACGGCUAACUUCGUG